ACGGCUGAGUAACGCGUGGCCAACCUGCCCUGCGGAGGGGGAUAACCCCGGGAAACUGGGGAUAAACCCCCAUAGGUGACCAGGUCUGGAAGGACCGGUCGCCGAAAGUCCCGGUCGGGGAUGCUCCGGCCGGGAGCCGCAGGAUGGGGCUGCGUCCUAUCAGGUAGUUGGUGGGGUAACGGCCCACCAAGCCUGUGACGGGUAGGGGCCCUGAGAGGGGGAGCCCCCAGAUGGACUCUGAGACAAGAGUCCAGGCCCUACGGGGCGCAGCAGGCGCGAAAACUCCGCAAUGGGCGAAAGCCCGACGGGGUUACCCCGAGUGCCACCCUCGUGGUGGCUUUUGCCCGCUCUAAAAAGGCGGGCGAAUAAGGGGAGGGCAAGUCGGGUGUCAGCCGCCGCGGUAAUACCCGCUCCCCGAGUGGUGGAGGCUAUUACUGGGCCUAAAGCGCCCGUAGCCGGCCCGGUGUGUCCCUUGUUAAAUCCACGGGCUUAACCCGUGGGCUGCGGGGGAUACUACCGGGCUUGGGGGUGGGAGAGGCGCCCGGUAUUCCCGGGGUAGGGGUAAAAUCCUCUGAUCCCGGGAGGACAUCAGUGGCGAAGCGGGGCGCCAGACACGCCCGACGGUGA
RNAcentral lists this ribosomal RNA (627 nucleotides) under uncultured prokaryote. RNAcentral's name for it is "bacterial SSU rRNA". It matches the Rfam family "Archaeal small subunit ribosomal RNA", at positions 85 to 700 of the family's 1478-position model. The record is from RNAcentral.